GAGGAGCUGCUCCUAGUACGAGAGGACCGGAGUGGACAGACCUCUGGUGUGCCAGUUGUCAUGCCAAUGGCAUCGCUGGGUAGCUACGUCUGGCAAGGAUAACCGCUGAAAGCAUCUAAGCGGGAAGCCUGCCUCAAGAUAAGAUCCCUCUGUCCGUAAGGACUUAAGAUCGCAGAUAGACUAUCUGUUAUAUAGGCAGCGUGUGUAAGCGCAGUAAUGCGUUGAGCUAAGCUGUACUAACGAUUGAGGGCUGAUC
Molecule: ribosomal RNA, 256 nt
Filed under: Anaerolineae bacterium
Lineage: Bacteria; Bacillati; Chloroflexota; Anaerolineae
Description: partial 23S ribosomal RNA
Rfam family: Bacterial large subunit ribosomal RNA
Source: RNAcentral